AUGGGACGACCUGGGAAUGCCACCCACACUGGGGAGGCAGCCCCUGACAGAGACAGACGAGGGGCUCCCGCAGGCCUGAGACCUGCCCCCAGAGCCUCAGUGCUGCUCCUUUGUUUUAGAUUCAGUCGCUCAAAGGAGCGGAGGCGGCAGGUACCGGGCCCAGAGCGGGCCCGGAAAGAGACGAGACCAGGGAGGAAAGCAGGUGGUGCCAGCGAAACCUCGGCCCAGGGCAGCAGGGCCUUCUCUGGGGCAGGCCUGGGAGGCUGGGGCCUUGGAAGUGCUUGUGUCUGUGUGUGUACUGCGCAGAGCAGAGAGGGGCGUGUAUCACAGCUAUUGUUGGUUAUGUUUUCACUGCUCUCUCCCCUCCUCAGCUCUCCCGCUAACUCCAAGACAAGAUGCUGUUACCUGGCACAACUAAGCUCCCAGUUCACCAGCAGGAGCCAGUCGUUCCUCUUAGUUUCCUUAUGGUUCCAAGGACAGACCUGGUGCCAAUCAGACCCCAGAGGGCCCCCUAAAGAGUGGUCCUGGAGAAGACUUCAUUUAUUGCUCAUUUUGUGA
RNAcentral lists this long non-coding RNA (558 nucleotides) under Capra hircus (goat). RNAcentral's name for it is "lncRNA (ENSCHIG00010025865.1)". Lineage: Eukaryota; Metazoa; Chordata; Mammalia; Artiodactyla; Bovidae. The record is from RNAcentral.